AAGUGACAGAUGGGCAGGUAGCAUAUACAGCGUGGAUCCACUGGACACAGAGAUGAUUCACAUCUGGGCAGGAUGGAACAGGAUGGCACGAAAUUUCAUCAUGCUAGUCAGAAUGGUACCUGCAUAUUUGACUGUUUGGAUCCCAAUUGUUUCUUUCCUGAGUUUCAAACAGAAGACUGCUACGUCACAUCACAUACAGAGACCCAAAAAAUCAGUGGGUUUGGACUUCUCUUCUGGAUUUGGAACAUAUAUAGGGUGAAGAAGCUGAGAGAACUCUAAACAGGAUAAUCCAAAGAAAUCCAUACCAAGACACACCAUAAUUAAAAUUCUGAAAAUGAAAGACAAAGAAAAAAAUCUAGAAAGAAAUCGGAGAAAACGGACACCUUACCUAUAAGGAAAAACAAUUUGAAUGACAGCUGAUUUCUCUUCAAGUAGUACUUAUAUAUCUCCAUUUUAUAGGAGAAUAAACUGAGGCACUAAAACGUACAGUAACCUUCUCAUGGUCACGCAGCUGGAAAGUGGAGAAGCCAGGUUGUCUGAUUCCAGGGUUUGUGUUCUUACCCUAUACUUAAUGAAGCCAUGAUUAAGCAAUCACUAUAUUAAAGACUGGCAUACAUUCAAG
Molecule: long non-coding RNA, 622 nt
Filed under: Equus caballus (horse)
Lineage: Eukaryota; Metazoa; Chordata; Mammalia; Perissodactyla; Equidae
Description: lncRNA (ENSECAG00000053435.1)
Source: RNAcentral